Entelurus aequoreus (snake pipefish) is the source of this 1410-nucleotide long non-coding RNA. RefSeq lists it as uncharacterized. The record is from RefSeq and is a predicted model, not a curated record. NCBI's taxonomy places the organism in Eukaryota, Metazoa, Chordata, Actinopteri, Syngnathiformes, Syngnathidae. The transcript is spliced from 3 exons.
UUUUGUUUUUUUUUUCUUUUUAAAAGGCGUGCCACAACUGUGCUGUUUUUGGGGACCAAGCAUGGAAUAACUUGGUUUUAAUUAAUUUCAAUGGGAAAACAUUGAUUUGAGAUACAAGUGUUUUGGGUUCUGAACCAAUUCAACACAUAUUCCUGGGUACCACUGUAUUGAGUUUGUAUUAUUUUAAGUACCAUCAAACUUCAUUAUGUGUUAUAACUCCUAAACUUUGCUUUUUUCACAGGAUUAAGAGUAAAAAAGAAGUUGUUUACCAACAUCUUUGUGACUUUCUUGUCACGGGCAGGGCGCAUUCCAAUGCGCCCUCAUCUUUGCAUCCUGACGGGCGCACCGCGGACCACGCCCACAGGUGUUCUCUCUCCGCUGCGGGCGUGCCUUCGCGCACCUGCAGACAAUCUGCAAUCUGCGCACCUGCCCACAAUGAGCGAGCUGCCUUCAUAAGCCUGCUCAACCUGCCAUCCCGGGCCGGAAUAUAAACUUCUGUUGGCGUACCUUCCCUGUGUGCAUCCCUGAGUCAAGCUAGGCGUCUUGUGCUCCUGGAUCUUCCCUGCCUCCCUCGUGCUUCCUGGUUCUCGACUCCUUGCUAGCCCCCGGACUACGACGACUCGCUCCUACCUCUCGACCCCGCUUCCGCCCCUGGAUCAUCUGCCUGCCCCACGGACUUCCGUGUUCCUUCGCUCUCGACAACACUUGCAGGUUAGACUACUCUAAUGGCCUUCUCAUUGGGGUCUCGAAACAACCUGCACAGCAGCUGCAGUACAUCCAAAAUACUGCUGCUCAAAUCCUGACUCGAACCAAGAAAUAUGACCGUAUUAGUCCAGUGCUUAGGUCAAUGCACUGGUUUCCUGUUGCUUAGAAAAUAGACUUUAAAACAGCUUUCCUUGUGUACACGUCUUUUCAUGGUCUUGUGCUGAAGUACAUCUCUGACAUGUUAGAGACAUAUGAACCAUCUCCAGCUCUGAGAACCUCAGGGACUGGUCUCCUGCUGGUGACCUGAGGUAGUACCAAACAAGGCGACACUGUGUUUCAGUUUUAUGCUCCUAUUUUCUGGAAUAGUCUUCCUGAUGAUGUGAGAUGGGCCUCAACAAUGGCAAUGUUCAAAUCCAGACUGAAAACACUUUUAUUUAAUUGUGCAUUUGACAACUGAAAGUAUUUCUUCUACAGUAUUUGAUUGAUGUUUAACAAAUUAUGAUUGUUUUUAAUGAUUUUAAGUUGAAUUAUUUUUCCUUUUUUAAAUUUUUUUUAAAACACUUUAAAUUGCUUUGUGUACGAAUGGUGCUUUAUAAAUAUAAUUGUCUUGCCUUUCCUAAAUUAUUAAAUUUGAACAUGUAGCACACACUGUAUUGUACAUAUUUUUUAAAUUUUUAGACAGUAAAAAAACAAAUGGACUUUUUG